RNAcentral lists this non-coding RNA (29 nucleotides) under Rattus norvegicus (Norway rat). The record is from RNAcentral. Lineage: Eukaryota; Metazoa; Chordata; Mammalia; Rodentia; Muridae.
UUCACUAACACAUGUAUUGAUUCGCCUUA